AUGACUAAUUUUUUUAUAUUCUUAAUACACCAGAUUGCAUCAAGAGAAGCCAAGCAACAAACACUCAGGAAGAGAAGAUCUCAUGCACCCGGAGGAGGAGACCACGGCUCGCACGACGGAAGUCAGCCGAGAGAGGCGCGCCCAUGGAGGCGGCGUGUACGGCGGUGUUGCUCGCUACAAAGAACAUACACAUGUGAGAAGACCGGCGUAUGCGGCAGUGGCAACUACACCCCAUCCAAGCAUGAAGAUGCACCCGCCGGCGACGGCAACGCUCACGAUGUGGAGGCGGCGGACAACACAUCCAAUGGAGAUGGCAACAAAGAGCGGACGACGCGACGCUCCUCUGCUACCAAGUGCAACGGAGGCGCACACACGCAUAUGGAUGAGGAGGAAUCAGCCCGUCCUUUUCUUCUUUUUCAUGUACAUGUGUGGAGGCAGCGGACAACACAUCCGAUGGAGAUGGCAACGGAGAGCAGACGACGCGACGCUCAUCUUCUACCAAGUGCAAUGGAGGCGGUUGAUGGCACGCUAGCGGAGAUGACUCAGGAGCAGCCGGAGCUCGUGAAAACGUAG
This 573-nucleotide ribosomal RNA is filed under the name Triticum aestivum (bread wheat). RNAcentral describes it as "partial small subunit ribosomal RNA". The record is from RNAcentral. Lineage: Eukaryota; Viridiplantae; Streptophyta; Magnoliopsida; Poales; Poaceae.